AAGAUCUUCUGAUUGAAAGAGAG
RNAcentral lists this small nuclear RNA (23 nucleotides) under Arabidopsis thaliana (thale cress). RNAcentral's name for it is "snRNA_17985". The record is from RNAcentral. Lineage: Eukaryota; Viridiplantae; Streptophyta; Magnoliopsida; Brassicales; Brassicaceae.